UACGUAGGGUCCGAGCGUUGUCCGGAAUUACUGGGCGUAAAGAGCUCGUAGGCGGUCUGUCGCGUCGAAUGUGAAAACCCGGGGCUCAACCCCGGGCCUGCAUUCGAUACGGGCAGACUAGAGUUCGGUAGGGGGAGACUGGAAUUCCUGGUGUAGCGGUGGAAUGCGUAGAGAUCCGGAGGAACACCGGUGGCGAAGGCGGGUCUCUGGGCCGUAACUGACGCUGAGGAGCGAAAGCGUGGGGAGCGAACAGG
This 254-nucleotide ribosomal RNA is filed under the name uncultured bacterium. RNAcentral's name for it is "partial 16S ribosomal RNA". It matches the Rfam family "Bacterial small subunit ribosomal RNA", at positions 524 to 776 of the family's 1533-position model. The record is from RNAcentral.